Molecule: ribosomal RNA, 469 nt
Filed under: uncultured Rhodocyclaceae bacterium
Lineage: Bacteria; Pseudomonadati; Pseudomonadota; Betaproteobacteria; Rhodocyclales; Rhodocyclaceae
Description: bacterial SSU rRNA
Rfam family: Bacterial small subunit ribosomal RNA
Source: RNAcentral
AGACGGGACCCGCACAAGCGGUGGAUGAUGUGGAUUAAUCGAUGCAACGCGAAAACCUUACCUACCCUUGACAUGUCCGGAAUCCCGAAGAGAUUUGGGAGUGCUCGCAAGAGAGCCGGAACACAGGUGCUGCAUGGCUGUCGUCAGCUCGUGUCGUGAGAUGUUGGGUUAAGUCCCGCAACGAGCGCAACCCUUGCCAUUAGUUGCCAUCACUUGGUUGGGCACUCUAAUGAGACUGCCGGUGACAAACCGGAGGAAGGUGGGGAUGACGUCAAGUCCUCAUGGCCCUUAUGGGUAGGGCUUCACACGUCAUACAAUGGUCGGUACAGAGGGUUGCCAACCCGCGAGGGGGAGCUAAUCCCACAAAGCCGAUCGUAGUCCGGAUCGCAGUCUGCAACUCGACUGCGUGAAGUCGGAAUCGCUAGUAAUCGUGGAUCAGCAUGUCACGGUGAAUACGUUCCCGGGUCUU